CGCUCAUCCAGAGGGGCAGAGGGAACGGCCCGACGAAGCCCCGGCAACCGGCACCCACCACUUUCCACCGCGACGAAUCCGCGGCCGGGAGGUCGGCGGGCCACGGUGCCAAUUCCGACCCGCCACGCGGGAGAGAUGAGGA
RNAcentral lists this non-coding RNA (142 nucleotides) under Actinokineospora spheciospongiae. RNAcentral's name for it is "SAM-I sequence". It matches the Rfam family "SAM riboswitch aptamer (S box leader)". Rfam says of the family: The SAM riboswitch is found upstream of a number of genes which code for proteins involved in methionine or cysteine biosynthesis in Gram-positive bacteria. Lineage: Bacteria; Bacillati; Actinomycetota; Actinomycetes; Pseudonocardiales; Pseudonocardiaceae. The record is from Rfam by way of RNAcentral.